Molecule: long non-coding RNA, 737 nt
Organism: Erigeron canadensis
Lineage: Eukaryota; Viridiplantae; Streptophyta; Magnoliopsida; Asterales; Asteraceae
Exons: 3
Source: RefSeq, a predicted model, not a curated record
UAAAUCUUUUUAUUCAGAAUUUGAGAUGAAGUACUGAUAUAAUGGAUAAUGGUACGAGUAUUAUUUUUUUCCCACAUGAACAAAGUUAUCGACUAUGAGCUAGCUCCAAGAAUGACGGCGGGGGAUUGUAGAUUAAAAGGUGAUGCUGAUGUGAUCAAAGCCAAUAAAGAAUUGAAGCUGAAUCGGCCAAUCUCCAAUUAAGAAGCACAAAAGUUAGAACCUAUAGAAAAAGUCGAGCUUCUUAACACAACUGGAAAAGCUAACCGUGUGGCUGCGAGUAUUGACUGGCUGGACCUUCAUAGAUAAAAUGUUGGAGCAUCUGGACAAUUGGGAGCAACAUAGAGUGGAAAAUCCAUUCUACUAUGCCAAGACAAUGUGCUGAAAAAAACGUGACGAUUGGAGGGUCGAUUUGGGAACAUGUGCAAAGAAUUAAAGAUAACAAGCCAACUGUAGAUGCCUUCUUGAUGGAGAAAGCCCAGAAAAAGAAGGUGGCCGGGUAAAAGGAACAAGACAUGCUUGUCUUUGUAGUAGCCGCACGCAAUAGUCCUAGCUGCAUUGUCAUCAUCGGAUACCCCUGUUUUCACUUUGAUAGAUGUAUACACGACCCAAAAUAACACAAAUAUGUACUACCUAGCUAUAUACGUAUGAAAAUAACACCCAAGUUGUAUGUAAUUAACCAUAUGACCAUUGACCAGUGAUGAAAGCGAAUUUAUCAACGUUUUAGAAUGGUAAUGACA